This 254-nucleotide ribosomal RNA is filed under the name uncultured bacterium. RNAcentral's name for it is "partial 16S ribosomal RNA". It matches the Rfam family "Bacterial small subunit ribosomal RNA", at positions 524 to 777 of the family's 1533-position model. The record is from RNAcentral.
UACGGAGGGGGCUAGCGUUGUUCGGAAUUACUGGGCGUAAAGCGCGCGUAGGCGGCUUUGUAAGUUAGAGGUGAAAGCCCGAAGCUCAACUUCGGAAUUGCCUUUAAGACUGCAUCGCUAGAAUCGUGGAGAGGUAAGUGGAAUUCCGAGUGUAGAGGUGAAAUUCGUAGAUAUUCGGAAGAACACCAGUGGCGAAGGCGACUUACUGGACACGUAUUGACGCUGAGGUGCGAAAGCGUGGGGAGCAAACAGGG